Molecule: non-coding RNA, 5453 nt
Organism: Lonchura striata (white-rumped munia)
Lineage: Eukaryota; Metazoa; Chordata; Aves; Passeriformes; Estrildidae
Source: RefSeq, a predicted model, not a curated record
CCCUGAUGCCGAGGGAUGGAUAGAGCGGCUGCCCUGCGAGCCGCCGGCAUGCUGGAGAGGAAGGAGCGGAGCGGCGGCGAGGCGGCGGGGCCGCGGGGCUUGCCGGCCGUGCGGAGCACGCUGCAGCAGUGCGGGCUGCUACAGGACCUCAUCGACAUCUCGCUCUCCAACCUGCGCGGGCUCCGCACUAAGUGUGCCGCGUCCAACGACCUCACGCAGCAGGAGAUCCGCACGCUGGAGGUGAAGCUGAUUGACUACAUCCACCGGCAGCGGCAGUGCAAGCUGAGCGUGCCCCUGAGCGACCGCACCGCCGAGCUCAACAGCUACCCCCGCUUCAACGACUGGCUGGACAUCGUCAACGUCAGGAAGGAGGUGGUGCAGAGAAUACCAGAGGAGCUGACCCUGGAUGCCUUACUAGAAAUGAAUGAGUCAAAGGUGAAAGAAACAAUGAAGAGAUGUGGAGCCAGGGAUGAGGAGUGCUCCAGGCUCAACGGGGCCCUGAGCUGCCUGCGGAAGGUGACGGAGUCAGGAGGGGAGCUGCGGGACGAUGUGCCGAUGGCCCUCCCCGAGCGCCGGGACAGCUCCUGCUCGCAGCCGGACCCCGCCUGGUCCCCGAGCGCCGCGGCCAAGGGCAGCCAGCAGCAGCCGCGCUCCGUGUCCGCGCCCUGCGAGCCGAACCCGAGCCACGGGCCCGGUCCCUCGGCAGAGACGCUGCUGGAGCCGCUGGUGCUGCCCGCGGCCGGGGGCAGGCCCCGGACUCCGCACAGCAUCACCGUCACCCCCCCGGCCACGCCGCAGCCCAAGCGCCGGCACCGCCUGAAGCCGCCGCGGACGCCGCCGCCCCCCUGCCGCAAGGUGUUCCAGCUGCUGCCCAACUUCCCCACCCUCACCAGGAGCAAGUCCCACGAGUCUCAGCUGGGCAACAGGAUAGACGAAGUUCCUCCAAUAAAGUUCGAGCUCUCCCAGGGAUCCCCCCAGAUGGUACGAAGAGACUUUGGCCUCGCUGUGACUCACAGGUUCUCUACAAAGUCCUGGUUAUCUCAGAUUUGCCAGGUGUGCCAGAAAAGCAUGAUGUUCGGGGUGAAGUGUAAGUACUGCAGAUUAAAAUGUCACAACAAAUGUACUAAAGAGGCACCUGCUUGUAGAAUAUCCUUCCUUCCCAUAACAAAAAUAAGAAGAACAGAGUCUGUCCCAUCUGAUAUCAAUAAUCCAGUAGACAGACCCACAGAACCCCAGUUUGGAACUCUCCCCAAAGCACUAACUAAAAAGGAGCAUCCACCAGCAAUAAACCCCCUGGACUCCAGCAGUAAUCCUUCUUCUACAACCUCAUCCACUCCAUCUUCUCCAGCACCUUUCCAGUCUUCCAACCCUCCCAGUGCGACGCCGCCCCCAAACCCGUCCCCCAUGGGCCCGAGGGACGGGCGGUUCAACUUCCCAGCUGCCUACUACCUUCAGCAUAGACAACAGUUUAUCUUCCCAGAAAUUCCCAGUCCUGCACAAACAGCACAGCUUCCAGAAACUGCUGCAGACACUAACGCUGCCCAGCAGCCGGGCGCGGGCCGAGGCGCACGGGAAGCACAGGUGGAGGAACCAGAGGCCAGUAAGUCAGAGCCCGAGGACGAUGAGGACGAGGUGGAAGAUUUGCCCAACCGGCGGCCGCACCUGCAGGGGAUGAUCUACCGCAAACCCAGCCAGACCAGCGUGUACCUGCAGGAGUGGGACAUCCCCUUCGAGCAGAUCCAGCUGGGGGACCCCAUCGGCCAGGGCCGCUGGGGCAAGGUCUACAAGGGCAAGUGGCAUGGGGAGGUGGCCAUCAGGCUGCUGGAGAUCGACGGCAACAACCAGGAUCAUCUCAAGCUUUUCAAGAAGGAGGUGAUGAACUACAGGCAGACCCGGCAUGAGAACGUGGUGCUGUUCAUGGGAGCCUGCAUGAACCCCCCUCACUUAGCAAUCAUUACCAGCUUCUGCAAAGGAAGGACGCUGCACUCCUUUGUGAGGGACCCCAAGAUCUCCCUGGACAUCAACAAAACCAGGCAGAUAGCACAGGAGAUCAUUAAGGGCAUGGGGUAUCUCCACGCAAAGGGGAUUGUACAUAAGGAUCUGAAAUCCAAAAAUGUCUUCUAUGACAAUGGGAAAGUUGUGAUCACUGACUUUGGAUUAUUUGGAAUUUCGGGCGUGGUUCAGGAAGGAAGGAGGGAGAAUGAACUGAAGCUGCCUCAUGACUGGUUGUGCUACCUGGCCCCUGAGAUUGUCCGUGAGAUGGCCCCAGGGAAAGAUGAAGACAAGCUGCCUUUCUCCAAAGCUGCAGAUAUCUAUGCCUUUGGGACCGUGUGGUACGAGCUCCAGGCACGGGAGUGGCCGUUCAGGACCCAGCCUGCAGAGGCUCUCAUCUGGCAGAUCGGCAGCGGCGAGGGAGUCAGACAAGUCCUUGCCACUGUCAGCCUGGGCAAAGAGGUCAAUGAAAUCCUCUCGGCCUGCUGGGCCUUUGACCUCAGCGAGCGGCCCAGCUUCACUGUCCUCAUGGAAAUGCUUGAAAAACUGCCAAAACUGAACCGCCGGCUCUCCCACCCAGGGCACUUCUGGAAGUCUGCUGAGUUGUAGCUACUGGUGCAAUAACGGGCUCCACCUUGCAUGCUUCCAUGUGUCGUAUCCUAACUGGCAACUUGGACAAUCACCUUCCAUUAAAAAAGCCAAAACAAACCACGAAAUUAACCCAUGGACAUAAUCAACACUUUAUCCGAGUUCUUCUCGCUGCCUUUCGCUUGGUGUGGGCUGUAGCUUCAAUAACCACUCCUGUCUGCGGGACCUUCCUGGCUAACACGGCUGCUCUGCCCCGGGGCGCCCAGCAGCUGCGACUCCUCGGGACGGGCGCGGGGACCCGCUCUGACUGACCAGCAUUAACAGUAGCAAAGUUGUCCUGCGUUUUGAAAGAUUUGGCUUGGGAAUCCUGGAACCGAGUAACCCAAAGCUGUAGCCCGGUGUCAGUGUGACCGUGCUGGCUGCCUGCUCCCACGAGCACCAGAGACCCUCCCUGGCUGCCCGCGCCGAGGCUGGUGCGGCCCCACUGAAGACCAUCAGCUCAGCCCCGUGUCCUGCCUGAGCACCAGCAGCUAUUUAAACAAUGUUUACAUGAUACUUUUGUGUGAACUCUAUUUUUUUAAACAUAAUAAACAGUGAAUCAAGUUGAACUACAGCCAUUCUCAAAUAGCACUGAGAAAGAGCUGAGCUGUUCCUGGUUGCUCCUUGUGUCCGUGGUCAGUAGGAGCCACUCUGCCCUCAGAGCGGGGUCCCCUGGCCGUGGCACAGUGACGUGGCUCCUGUGAGGUGUUUGCCUUCCAGAGGCCAGCUCUCUCCUGAAGGCAGAGCCCAGCCUGCUGCACUGGCACUUGCCCAAACCACCCAUUGUUUCAGCAGGGCUGCUCCACCUCUGGGUCUCCCUGCAUUUGGCUACCAGAACAGAGCUGCUGCAGGUAGAGUGUCUGGCCAUGGGAGCUGGCUCUCAGUUAAUGACUCAAGUGCUCUUCUCCACAGAACUCACACUAAAACCUGCUUCCCCGUACAAUCCCAGAGGAAUUAAGAAUUGCUGGCCUUAAAAAAUAAACUCAUGAUUUGUCCACAGCUUUGCAUAGGGACCAAAUUCUUCUUUUGAAGUUCAGACAUAAGUUUGAGUGCAGGGAAAGGCAAGAGAAACAGGACAAGGGAAAAGCUGUCCCUAAAUAAUGCAUUAAACCAAGGCCUUGAUGCACAGAGCUUCAGAGUCCCUGCACGCACAUACACAGAGUGUUGCCACUGCCUACAGCUGGCCACGUUUGAGCUUGCAAGUUCUUUGUUUGAAAAACAUAGGACCAAAGCAGUUGCUAUGAGGGAAAAAAACCUUUAAGAAUAACAAAUCUUGUAACCAAGAAGGCAGUACCUGGGCCUGGAGGUUCUGCCUGACCCAGACACCUCAAAUUUGCUUCAGAGGUUAGUUUUAAAACCAAAACCCACCCCCUCCUCCAGUGCAGUGUGGAGGUUAUGGAGGUGACAGAUGCAACAUCCCCCUUGGAAAUCAAUUGCAGGCCCCAUUAUCAGAGGCUCCCCAUUCCCCACCAUCAUCCCCAAGGCUCAGGGGGAGCUCCCAGAUCUCUGUGAGCCGGCAAAGCACCAGCCCUCAGUUUGGCUGCCUUGUGUGAGGAACUAAGUGGCACAAAACCCAAGUUCUGCUGAGCAGAGAGCCUCGGUCAUGUGUGCAAGUCUGUUGUAGCCUCUUAAAAGUGUUGACAAAGACUUUUCAAAUGUGUUUCAGAUGAAAAAGAGAAAUGGGUUUGGCGUGGCCAGGCACUGCAGUGCUGUCCUGAUCCCCUGUCUCCCUUGGGCUCUGCUGUUCUCACUACCUGUGUGUCAGCAGCCUGAAGCAGAAGUUCUUCUCCCCCAAGUGCUGCUUAAUUAAGAGCAGCACAACACAAACCCAAAGCAGGGAAAAAAGGUGCUGCCCCUGGGCUGGAACCCUGUGUGGGCUUCCUGCCUGAGGGAGGGUAGGGCAGGAGCUGCUGCAGCUGCUGGAUGCAGACUGGCCCUUAGCUCAGUCAGUGUCAAGGCAGCAGUGGCCUUGGGGUGCUCCUCAUUCAGAUUUUGGGUGCAUAAAGAGGCCCUGAGAGCUGGGACACCCAGAACAUUCUGUGUGGGGUCAGUGGCCCGGCUGUGCAGGGCCCUGGCUCCUUGCAAGCACAGACUGUGACCCUUGGUCCCUCCCGUGCAGGUCAGGCCCUGCGUGUGGAGCCCUUUGUGCCCUGCCUUGCCCUGGUAGGAUGCUGGACACUGCGGGAUGUGCCCCAGUCCUGGCACAGGGGCUUGUUCAUAGUCUGCCCUUAAUGAGGAGAUGGGAUUGGAAUCCAGCCUGACCUGGCUGGUGUGUGGGACACCCAUAAAUUGCCCUUGAAAACAAAGCUCAUUCUCUGCCCCAGUGCAGCCAGAGGAGAGCCCGGCAGUGUCUGCAGGGUGGUUUUUGUUUUGGCCAGCCAGGGGCACCCGGCUGAGCCCGGUGGGGCUCUGGGCACAGAGCCUGGGGCCACGGAGCUGUCCUGGCCCCACACACCAAGCCAAGUCCCUGGGUUGUGUUUGUGUCAUGUCCCACCCCGGUGGAGCUGUCAAUGUGACAAUGCUGUGCAAUGCUGCUACAGGAGCCACAUGUCAGUAGUGAAUGUAAAUGGUUGUAACAUGGUGAACAUGGACAUGUUUUCUUUUCAAAUGUGAUGUAAACUUUGUACAGUACAAAAUUUUUUUUAUAUUUUCUAUGAACUGAGUGUCUUCCAGAAUUACUAUUAAAUUAAUUACAAAUUGUUAGAAUUAAGAACAGUUUCUGUAUUAGUUUAUGCAACCAACAAAAAAGAAAAAAAGAGUGCACUCUAUGCUACUGGAAUUCUGGAUAUGUAGGAAUCUUUUCAGUGAAUAAAUCUUUGGUCUGGAUAAAGCGA